UGAGGAAUAUUGGUCAAUGGGCGAGAGCCUGAACCAGCCAAGUCGCGUGAGGGAAGACGGUCCUACGGAUUGUAAACCUCUUUUGUCGGGGAGCAAUAAGGCGUACGAGUACGCAGAUGCGAGUACCCGAAGAAAAAGCAUCGGCUAACUCCGUGCCAGCAGCCGCGGUAAUACGGAGGAUGCGAGCGUUAUCCGGAUUUAUUGGGUUUAAAGGGUGCGCAGGCGGAAAGUGCAAGUCAGCGGUCAAACGACGGGGCUCAACCCCGUCUCGCCGUUGAAACUGUCUUUCUAGAGUGAGCGAGAAGUAUGCGGAAUGCGUGGUGUAGCGGUGAAAUGCAUAGAUAUCACGCAGAACUCCGAUUGCGAAGGCAGCAUACCGGCGCUCAACUGACGCUCAUGCACGAAAGCGUGGGUAUCGAACAGGAUUAGAUACC
Molecule: ribosomal RNA, 434 nt
Filed under: uncultured bacterium
Lineage: Bacteria
Description: bacterial SSU rRNA
Rfam family: Bacterial small subunit ribosomal RNA
Source: RNAcentral